AAGCUAGCGGCAGACUUAACACAUGCAAGUCGAGGGGUAGAUGCAGCUUGCUGCAUUGAGACCGGCGCACGGGUGCGUAACGCGUAUGCAAUCUGCCUUGUACUGGGGGAUAGCCCAGAGAAAUUUGGAUUAAUACCCCAUGGUAUUUUGGUGUGGCAUCACACUAUUAUUAAAGAUUUAUCGGUACAAGAUGAGCAUGCGUCCCAUUAGUUAGUUGGUAAGGUAACGGCUUACCAAGACGAUGAUGGGUAGGGGUCCUGAGAGGGAGAUCCCCCACACUGGUACUGAGACACGGACCAGACUCCUACGGGAGGCAGCAGUGAGGAAUAUUGGUCAAUGGGCGCAAGCCUGAACCAGCCAUGCCGCGUGCAGGAUGACUGCCCUAUGGGUUGUAAACUGCUUUUAUACGGGAAGAAACCCCUCCACGUGUGGAGGAUUGACGGUACCGUAAGAAUAAGGAUCGGCUAACUCCGUGCCAGCAGCCGCGGUAAUACGGAGGAUCCAAGCGUUAUCCGGAAUCAUUGGGUUUAAAGGGUCCGUAGGCGGGUCUGUAAGUCAGUGGUGAAAUCUCCCGGCUCAACCGGGAAACUGCCAUUGAUACUGCAGGUCUUGAAUGUUUGUGAAGUAACUAGAAUAUGUAGUGUAGCGGUGAAAUGCUUAGAUAUUACAUGGAAUACCGAUUGCGAAGGCAGGUUACUAACAAAUGAUUGACGCUGAUGGACGAAAGCGUGGGGAGCGAACAGGAUUAGAUACCCUGGUAGUCCACGCCGUAAACGAUGGAUACUAGCUGUCGGACUGUAAGGUUCGGUGGCUAAGCGAAAGUGAUAAGUAUCCCACCUGGGGAGUACGGCCGCAAGGCUGAAACUCAAAUGAAUUGACGGAAGGGCGAAUUCUGC
Molecule: ribosomal RNA, 896 nt
Filed under: uncultured Flavobacterium sp.
Lineage: Bacteria; Pseudomonadati; Bacteroidota; Flavobacteriia; Flavobacteriales; Flavobacteriaceae
Description: bacterial SSU rRNA
Rfam family: Bacterial small subunit ribosomal RNA
Source: RNAcentral